UACUCGGGCACACACAUACAAAUAAAAUAAAUAAAUCUUUUGUAAAAAUGUAUCAGUGCCAAUAUAAGAUUGGUUUAAAAGACUUUAAACACAGGACAUAGGCGCGUAGAGGCUGAUACAUGAUAAGACCUUAUUAAAUAUUUUCAGGAAGUAAAAAUUAAAAGCAGUUCAUCAAUAUUUCUUAACCCUGUGAUUAAUUUAAAUAAUAUUUGUGAAAAUGACCUUUGAACCUGUUAAGUAUCAUUUGUAUCACAUAUUCUUUUGAGCACACAAGGUAAAAAUGGUUUCCCAUUGUCAAAGUGAGCUGUUUUGUAAAUCUAACUUCCUAAAUUUUUAUUUACUUAUUAAACUUUUGUGUAGGCUGUUUAUUAGUUCGGUUGUUGAUUCAUUUAUCCAGUGUACUUAGAUGAGUUCCCCAAAAGUUUUCCUUUCCCUGUUACUCAGUUUACAAUGUGUGCUUAGUUCAUUAACUUGCUAUGUCAUUUACUUAAGAUUGGUGAUGGCUUUCCUGCGAACUAUGCCUAGAACACGGACUUGUCUACUUAAGCUGCAAAUAAAGGCUUAAAUACAAUAGUCUGCAGUGGAAAAUCUUAUUUUUGAAAGAGAUUAUUAGUAGUAGUACUUUAUGUUUUGUGUUUCCAGUUUGUCUAUAAAUAAUGUUCAUUCAGCUUGACACAUACUUAUUGAACUUCUAGUCAAUGGCUGAAACAUUCUUUUUUUGAAACAUUCUUUACUGACAUUGAUUUUAGAGGCAUAUAGUAACUUUCACUUUAUUAUUACUUUGUAAUAUAGCCUGUCCAUGGAUUCUCUUUCUUGUGCUGGAAGGCAGUGUCACUAGCUCUUCAUUGAUUUAUACCCCAUUUGUAGGUGUUUGUACUGCGUCCACACCAUUUGUGCUAUUGGGAGAUGUCUUAGACUGCCUUCCUUUGGAUCAGUGUGACACAAUAUUCACUUUUGUUGAAAAAAAUGUUGCUACUUGGAAGUCAGUAAGUGCCUUGGUUUCCUUUCCUGAUAAUCCUAGCACUAUAGAGAUAGAAUUCAGAAGAAAGCUUUGUUUGUAGUUUAUUUGGUAAUAAUUCUAAUACUGGUGGUUGCCAAAACAUUUGUCCCUGUGAAAGAAUUAUAUAUUAUGUAAUAAUAAGAAUCAAAUGUAGAGAAAAUUUUGAGGUACAAAAUUUAAUAAGUAACUUGAAAGUACAUGCUUUCAAGCAGGCAUAGUAUUGUAAAGUUAUGAGGUAUAGGUAGGAAUGCUGUGUUCCAAGCUAGCCUGGUCUCCACAGGGAGAACCUGUCACAAACAAAGAAAGAAAGCUGGGGGAUGGCUUAGCAGUUUAGAGUACUUGUUACUCCUUUAGAGAACCUGGGUUUGAUUUCCAGUACUCAAACAUGGUGGCUUACCAUCAUACAUAACUCCAGUUCAAGGUGAUCUGAUGCCCUCUUCUAGCCUUUUUGCAUACACACAUACAUAGAUGUAUGUAUAGUACACAUACAUAGAUGCAGGAAGAACACUCAUAAAAUAAACAAAUAUAAAACAAAUUUUUAAAGAUAAAGCAAACACACACACACACACUUCUAGAUGUUUACAAGUUAUUCAGUGAUAUGCUGUUAAUGCAUAUUCAAGUGGAAAUGCUUGAAAUCAGUAACAGUAGUGAAAUAGACUCUUAUACAUUAGUGCUCUUUAAUAUUUUAAUUCCUAUGACUUAUUGAAGGGAGUGGGCAACUUUCAAAGUAUAGUAAUAAUUUUGGUCUUAAUUUCAGAAUACAUUCUAUUCUGCUGGCAAAAAUUAUUUACUGCGUAUGUGCAAUGGUAAGUAACUCAGUAUUAAAUUACUCUUUUAAAACUGUGAACGUGACCAGAAGAAUAGGUGUUGGUGGUUUAAUAUUUAACAAUGACGAUGUCUUUUGUUUGUUUGUUUGUUUUUGUUUUUUUCGAGACAGGGUUUCUCUGUGUAGCCCUGGCUGUCCUGGAACUCACUGUAGACCAGGCUGGCCUCAAACUCAGAAAUCCGCCUGCCUCUGCCUCUGCCUCCCGAGUGCUGGGAUCAAAGGCGUGCGCCACCACUCCCCAGCAAUGAAGAUGUUUUAAAAGUGAAUUAGGAUCUUUGUUUUUAAGUUAAGUAAUUUAUUAAAACUCAUCAUUCACUUUCAUUGGUUUUUACCCACAGAUUUUUGUUUCUAACUUAUAGUACUUUCUUUGACAAUGACUGAUACUUCCAUUUGCUUUAGGAAAAUCCUGGGCAAAUGGCUAAAAAUUCAGGUACAAUUAUAAUAAACAUAAAAUGAUUUCUUCUGUCUUAUUCAUUUCUGAACAUUGUUAGAUCUCCUCAGAAGAUUGUCUAAAUCUCAGAAUACAGUUUUCUGUGGAAGAAUUCAACUCUUUUUGGCCAGGCUUUUUCCUCUAUCUGAGAAAUCAGGUAAGUUUCUAUACAUUAUAUUCUUUUUAAGGAACUCUCUCCCAGUUUUUAUGGAGUAAAAUCUGUCAUAAUAAGAAAACUUAACAUAAAAUAUUGAAAGCAUUAUAAAAUUGCUUUACUUUCUUAUAAAUUCGCCAGCUCUAUGUAUGAUAUAGAUAGUCUUAAAUUCAAAGUUUAUUAACAGGGUGCUACUGAAUCAUAGUAAUAUGUGUAGGUAUGAACUAUUCUGUCUGUAUUCAAUUUCAGAAUAUAAGCCUAUUCUGUUUCCAUUUUCUGUUACAGUAAUUGCUGUUUAGUACACAUGAAAUUCCUUUAAUUUUAUAAUUUUUUAAACAAC
Molecule: long non-coding RNA, 2750 nt
Filed under: Mus musculus (house mouse)
Lineage: Eukaryota; Metazoa; Chordata; Mammalia; Rodentia; Muridae
Description: long non-coding RNA chr18:9961505-9964255
Source: RNAcentral